Suricata suricatta (meerkat) is the source of this 1001-nucleotide long non-coding RNA. RefSeq lists it as uncharacterized. The transcript has 2 exons. The record is from RefSeq and is a predicted model, not a curated record. NCBI's taxonomy places the organism in Eukaryota, Metazoa, Chordata, Mammalia, Carnivora, Herpestidae.
CAUAGGCAUAUGGCUCAUGGAGACGGGUACAAGACUUCUGGACACACGACCAGCCAACAGUCUGGGGAUUAGGAUGUCAUCGGAGUUCCCACAGCCAGCCAUAAACUCCUGCUUGAAUGCGGGGAUCGGUGGGCCUCCCCAGAAACCAGCACAGAAAAUGCUCAGGAAUCACUAACUGCAUGAAAGAAUGAAACAGACUGGGGGUACCUGGUGUGAACAAACUCCACACAAGAUGAAGAUGGUGAACCAUAAGUACUAGUUAUAAUAUAGACUGGACAUUGCUUGUAAAGAUGCCAAAGUAACAAGAUCCAUGUUUACUGCUCCUUGCAUAAUGGGCUGAUAUAAGCACGUUAUGAUUAACAACAUUGUUAUGCAGCUCCCUGGUGUCAGGGCCCCAGGCUCUGCUGAUCCCAAGAAACAGCUUUUAUCUUGAUGCCUAAAUCGCUGCUGCAGCUCCUGCCAUCACACCCACCUGCCAGCAGAGAGCAGGAAGAAGUGGAAGGAACUCCUUUUUCCUUUAAGGCCAUGGCCCAGAAGUUGCUCCUAUCACAUCUGAUCUGCCAGAACUUAGUCCCAGGGCCACACCUUGAUGCAAAGCAAGCUGGAAAAGUGGUCUUUAGCUGGGAGGUCAUUGCUGAGUGCUAGCUUGGAGGGUCAUUUACUAAAACAAGAAGAGGGGGUGGGUGUUUGGGGACACUUGUGUUUCAAUUUGAAAAGUUGGAAUGGGCUGUUCAUCAGUCACGUGUGGUGGGACAGGGGCUUGGAGUGUGAAGCUGGGUGAAGAAAAUCAUAGGAGAGGCAGAGGUGGAUGUUACUCAGGGUUCAGAGGACUGUGUGGGGUCUCUCAGGGGGAGAGUAGACAGCCCAAGGGCCUCUGAGAAGCACAGAGAGUUGAACAAAAAGGCAGCGAUGGCCAGCCUGCGGUCUGCCCUGUGUGGUCGAUCUCCAGCCCACGUACGCACACGGAGGGGGCAUGGCCAGGGGCCCAGCCCCAGCCCCCC